Molecule: small nuclear RNA, 121 nt
Organism: Mustela putorius furo (domestic ferret)
Lineage: Eukaryota; Metazoa; Chordata; Mammalia; Carnivora; Mustelidae
Source: Ensembl
GCGUUCACUUUGAAAACGCAUAUACGAAAAUUAGAAUGAUACUGAGAAGAUUCGUAUGGCCCCUGUGCAAGGAUGACAUGCAAAUUCGUGAAGAAAACGGGAAAAAGCAAUAUUGAUUUUU